Molecule: ribosomal RNA, 900 nt
Filed under: uncultured Bacillus sp.
Lineage: Bacteria; Bacillati; Bacillota; Bacilli; Caryophanales; Bacillaceae
Description: bacterial SSU rRNA
Rfam family: Bacterial small subunit ribosomal RNA
Source: RNAcentral
UAGAGUUUGAUCAUGGCUCAGGAUGAACGCUGGCGGCGUGCCUAAUACAUGCAAGUCGAGCGAAAUUAAAGGAGCUUACUCCUUUAAUUUAGCGGCGGACGGGUGAGUAACACGUGGGCAACCUGCCUGUAAGACUGGGAUAACUUCGGGAAACCGAAGCUAAUACCGGAUAACAUCUAAGAUCACAUGGUCUUAGGUUGAAAGAUGGCUACGGCUAUCACUUACAGAUGGGCCCGCGGCGCAUUAGCUAGUUGGUGAGGUAAUGGCUCACCAAGGCAACGAUGCGUAGCCGACCUGAGAGGGUGAUCGGCCACACUGGGACUGAGACACGGCCCAGACUCCUACGGGAGGCAGCAGUAGGGAAUCUUCCGCAAUGGACGAAAGUCUGACGGAGCAACGCCGCGUGAGCGAUGAAGGCCUUCGGGUCGUAAAGCUCUGUUGUUAGGGAAGAACAAGUAUCGUUCGAAUAGGGCGGUACCUUGACGGUACCUAACCAGAAAGCCACGGCUAACUACGUGCCAGCAGCCGCGGUAAUACGUAGGUGGCAAGCGUUAUCCGGAAUUAUUGGGCGUAAAGCGCUCGCAGGCGGUCCAUUAAGUCUGAUGUGAAAGCCCACGGCUCAACCGUGGAGGGUCAUUGGAAACUGGGGGACUUGAGUGCAGAAGAGGAGAGCGGAAUUCCACGUGUAGCGGUGAAAUGCGUAGAGAUGUGGAGGAACACCAGUGGCGAAGGCGGCUCUCUGGUCUGUAACUGACGCUGAGGAGCGAAAGCGUGGGGAGCGAACAGGAUUAGAUACCCUGGUAGUCCACGCCGUAAACGAUGAGUGCUAAGUGUUAGAGGGUUUCCGCCCUUUAGUGCUGCAGCAAACGCAUUAAGCACUCCGCCUGGGGAGUACGGUCG